RNAcentral lists this long non-coding RNA (403 nucleotides) under Lepisosteus oculatus (spotted gar). RNAcentral's name for it is "lncRNA (ENSLOCG00000023078.1)". Lineage: Eukaryota; Metazoa; Chordata; Actinopteri; Semionotiformes; Lepisosteidae. The record is from RNAcentral.
AGGUUUUUCCUGUACAUUAGCAGGUGCAGUACAAGCUUUCAUCUGUCUGACACGACGUAACUGUAUCGUCAGUGUUGUCUUAUACAUUAAAGUGGAACAAGUACGCUCAAAACCACUUAACAGGAAGUCCUUCAGCGCAGAGUAACUGAGUCUGUUUUUACCAGCCCCUCUUUCCUUCAGUGCUUCCUGAUUAAAAACAUGCAUUACGUUAUCGAAACAGAAAGUAUAUUUCUGUUACGUCGCCAUUUUGAGCGAAGCAGGGCAGAUGCAGUCGGGUACAAGUAAGGGAAUAAACUUACUCCUGCAUUAAAAACACACUGAAGUGUGGUAAUUGCGGAAGGUGGCAGGGGGAGAGAGCAAAAUGGUGGAGAGCGGAAGCGCUGAUUGUGGUGGAUAAGAUUGC